RNAcentral lists this long non-coding RNA (281 nucleotides) under Physcomitrium patens. RNAcentral describes it as "long non-coding RNA (PPAT_LNC002682)". The record is from RNAcentral. Lineage: Eukaryota; Viridiplantae; Streptophyta; Bryopsida; Funariales; Funariaceae.
ACAACUUUCUGUAUACUUAAAAGAGUGAUAGUCGGUAAACAAUUCACACCCUAACUUCAAACAACCUUAACUUCUUCAUACAAAACUCAAAUAACAAACUUUAUACACCAAAAUUAUAGCACAAAGCACAAGCUUUCUGAAUCUCUCCUCUAAACCCUCGAAUCCCCCCCGAAGAAGUGGCCUCCCCUUCGGUUUUCUCUCAGACAGCCCCUUGAAGCUCUUUGGUCAUGACCUAUAGCCAAUGAGAGUGAAGAUUCUCUUAUGCUUGCCUUAUCUAUCUA